Molecule: long non-coding RNA, 551 nt
Organism: Lates calcarifer (barramundi perch)
Lineage: Eukaryota; Metazoa; Chordata; Actinopteri; Centropomidae
Exons: 3
Source: RefSeq, a predicted model, not a curated record
AGUGCCCACACCACAAAGCAAGAUGAUCUGUACCUGGCUAAUCACCGGGGAUUACACCGGACGGAAGACAGGAGUGUUUCCAGAUGCUUUACACAGCUUACCAUGCUUUCCUGAGGUUCAUUACCAACUGUAAAGCUCUGACUCACCAUUGUGCACUAUACUGCUGGAUAGGAUGGCCUGCUCUGCACACCUGUCUCCCUUGAAAAAGAAAUUCCUAUUCCAAUGAAACUUACUCCUGGUUAAAUGAAGGUGAAAUAAAUAAAUAAAUAUGGCUGAAUCUACUGCUACUACUGGAUCUACUUUACACCUCAAAGUUGCAACACUGGCCUGGAAGUGGAAAUAUAAACAUGGCUCCUGUCCGGUGGAACAUCAUCUCCGUCGUUGAUAAGGCAGAAUCUCCUCUCCAGCACACAGGCGCAGAUGAACCUCAUCUUGCUUUGCAGUGGAGGCACUGAAAUUCACAGAAAGAGAUGCUGACAUCAGACUAAAGAUGAUAAUUUUGUCUGAUUUUCUACUUAAUUAACCAUUCUUAUAUAAAUAAAAUAAAGGUG